AGAAGAUACAUCCCCGGCCGUUCGAGGACUAGCGUCAGUUUGGCGUACACCUGAACUGUACACCACAAGAUGACAAGUUCUGAGCAUUUACCCCUGGUUCACAGAUCAGAAGAAGCGGAAAACGCAGACAAUGGAACAACGGACAACAUACGAUUGACAAAAGCUCAGGAAACGUACUACCAUCGUGCCGCAUCAUUCCUGGCCAGUUUCUCCGUCGCAGUUCUUUUGGUGUUAGCUAUUACGAGUUUUGGGUUGUUGCCGUGUGAUAAAGGCCCUACAAUGAUCAUGAAAUACUCACAGAUGCCC
Asterias rubens (European starfish) is the source of this 306-nucleotide long non-coding RNA. RefSeq lists it as uncharacterized. The record is from RefSeq and is a predicted model, not a curated record. NCBI's taxonomy places the organism in Eukaryota, Metazoa, Echinodermata, Asteroidea, Forcipulatida, Asteriidae. The transcript is spliced from 4 exons.